Molecule: ribosomal RNA, 516 nt
Filed under: uncultured bacterium
Lineage: Bacteria
Description: partial 16S ribosomal RNA
Rfam family: Bacterial small subunit ribosomal RNA
Source: RNAcentral
GAUGAACGCUGGCGGCGUGCCUAAUACAUGCAAGUCGAACGCAUUGAGAGAAGUGCUUGCACUUUUCAAUUUGAGUGGCGAACGGGUGAGUAACACGUGGGCAACCUACCUGAUAGCGGGGGAUAACGAGUGGAAACAUUCGCUAAUACCGCAUAACAAUAGAGAAGGCAUCUUCUUUAUUUAAAAGGCGCUUUCAAGCGUCACUAUCAGAUGGGCCCGCGGUGCAUUAGUUAGUUGGUGGGGUGAAGGCCUACCAAGACGAUGAUGCAUAGCCGAGUUGAGAGACUGAUCGGCCACAUUGGGACUGAAACACGGCCCAAACUGCUACGGGAGGCUGCAGUAGGGAAUCUUCCACAAUGGACGAAAGUCUGAUGGAGCAACGCCGCGUGUGUGAUGAAGGCUUUCGGGUCGUAAAGCACUGUUGUAUGGGAAGAAAUGCUAGGCUAGGAAAUGAGCUUAGUUUGACGGUACCAUACCAGAAGGGGACGGCUAAAUACGUGCCAGCAGCCGCAGUAA